GUGAAGGCGACGCUGAACCCGGUGUGGAACGAGGCCUUCCUCUUCUCGCUGCGGCCCGGGGACGCGGAGCGGCGGCUGUCGGUGGAGGUUUGGGACUGGGACCGAACCUCUCGGAACGAUUUCAGGGAAAAUGGAGAAAAAAUGGGAAAAAUCAGGAAAAA
This is a non-coding RNA of Taeniopygia guttata (zebra finch), 161 nucleotides long. Lineage: Eukaryota; Metazoa; Chordata; Aves; Passeriformes; Estrildidae. The record is from RefSeq and is a predicted model, not a curated record.